GACAAUACUCAAAUUAUGAAUACUGAAAUUAUAAAUGCAUCCUUUGUGUGAUUGGGAGACAAGACUCUUUGCAACUUAACCCCCUCUCUGUGAAAAACAGUCUCAACAGUAUCUGAGAUGCACAUGAUCUCCAGUGAUGCCACUUUCCACACUUGAAGGGAUUUCCUCGAAGAUACAUCCUUCUCCCCACUGCACUUGCCAUCCACCCACUGGCUUCACUACCACGAGGAUCUGACUGUGUGGGCCAGCUCUUGGGCCAGGAAUCUUCUUUUGCAACUCUCUCUGCAAGUGAUUACAACGCUGAUCUCCAACCUCAAGUGAUCCUCCUCAAGUGGAUCCUCCGCCUUGGCCUCCCAAAGUGCUGUGAUUACAGAUGUGAGUCAUCAAAACAAGCCAUGGCUAUUGUUCUUUAAGGAAUGGCACCUGAACUGCAAAACUACUGAGAUAUAUUUUUUUAAAAAAGUUGGAGAUAUAGCCAGGAGAAUGAUUAAAUGGCUUUAGCAUAGAAUCUAAGAAAUAUAGGAAGUGAUAUACAGGCAGAAAGGCCAAAGGCCUAAAAAUACCAAUAAUGUCAAUGAAAAAGGGUCAGUCAUAAUGAGAGCCAAAAGGAGUGAGAUUAUGUCAGAAAGUGGAGCGUUUACUUCCAUUUCAAAGGUAAAUUUACUCCAGUGGAGACGAGGCCCAGGAUGUGGCAAGGCAACAGAUGACCAAUGUGGCAUGGAGGUAAAGGUCUGUAGAUGAAGAGAUUAAGACCUGAGAGGCUGGAGUGCCACAUAGAGAUCCCAAGUCAGCCAUAAUGAUGGCUGGUGCUGGGGAAAUGACAUGGGUCAUGAUUCAAAGAAGAAAAUCAUUGCCUGAGGAGAGGACAUCAGAAGAUGA
Molecule: long non-coding RNA, 879 nt
Filed under: Homo sapiens (human)
Lineage: Eukaryota; Metazoa; Chordata; Mammalia; Primates; Hominidae
Description: HSALNT0161445
Source: RNAcentral